UACGUAGGGUGCGAGCGGUGUCCGGAAUUAUUGGGCGUAAAGAGCUCGUAGGCGGUGUGUCACGUCGGCCGUGAAAACCUGCAGCUUAACUGUGGGCGUGCGGUCGAUACGGGCAUCACUGGAGUUCGGCAGGGGAGACUGGAAUUCCUGGUGUAGCGGUGAAAUGCGCAGAUAUCAGGAGGAACACCGGUGGCGAAGGCAGCUCGCUGGAACGGUACUGACGCUGUGGCGCGAAAGCGUGGGGAGCGAACAGG
This 254-nucleotide ribosomal RNA is filed under the name uncultured bacterium. RNAcentral's name for it is "partial 16S ribosomal RNA". It matches the Rfam family "Bacterial small subunit ribosomal RNA", at positions 524 to 776 of the family's 1533-position model. The record is from RNAcentral.